Molecule: long non-coding RNA, 1025 nt
Organism: Catharus ustulatus (Swainson's thrush)
Lineage: Eukaryota; Metazoa; Chordata; Aves; Passeriformes; Turdidae
Exons: 3
Source: RefSeq, a predicted model, not a curated record
GUUCAAUUUCCCUCAUGAUUCUCUGCCUCCUCCUUCCAAGUGGUCCAGGGGAACAGGGAAAGGGGCUGUGGCAAUUACCCCCAAGAAGGAGCUCAGAUGGGAUGAAAACACCUGUUUCCUUCUGGAAUCUGUGCACAUCUGCCCUUAAACGAAGUGAAAAUUUGGUGUGAGAACUCUUAAGGACUGAAUUACCGGGUUUUUUCUGCAGUGCUGCCUUCUCUGCAAUUAGCAGAGACAAAACUGGCAGCUGGAAGGAUUUGAACGAGGGGGAGCUGAGGAAUCUGAACACUUCCAAGGUUUUCUUGAGCUGCCAAAGGGAUUGGGCUGUUCCAGGGAGAUGGAGACUCAGCUUCUCCUCCUGGGAAGGGCCAGAGACAGCACUGGGCAGGUCCUGGAUCUGCAUGGCUGCAAUGUGUGUGACACCAGGGCCAGGCUGGACAGCCUGGGAGAACCCUGGGCUGGUGGGAAGUGCCCCUGCCCACGGUGGGGGUGGAAUAUAAGGAUUUUUAAAGUUCCUUCCAACCAAAUAAUUUAAUGCUGCUAUGAAAAUCAGGACUGUAAAAGCAUAGAACACAUCUAGAGAGUGCAUUCCUCUGCUGCCUGAGGCAGAAAUCCAGCAGACUUUGCUAUGUAUGACCAUUACAUAUAAUUUAUGUCCAUUACAUUUUAGCGUAUUUUUUUCCCCAUCUUUGCAGUGCACACAGCUUUGGAUUAGAGUGAUGCAAUACUCAGUGCCACUAUUAAAAAGAGCUGGAGAAUGAUGUUAGCAAUAUCUUUCAGCCCAAGAAAUGGAGAAACUCUAAAUAAGCAGCCUGCAAACAUGGUGUGCUCAGCCUCUACUAAAUUUUAGGAACUUAUGAUGUGAAAAAAACCCAAAAAAGUUUUGAUUUCCAAGCUGUUCUUUCUCUCCCUGACUCAGUGAUGGGUCUUCACUGCCAUCGUCUGCAGAGGUUAAUGUUCCCCGUUGUAAUGUUAAUAAAGUUGUUGGCUACACCCGAGGACGGUGCUUAAUGACACAAGGAGAG